AAGACCUUGCACUUUUGGAGCGGCCGAUGUCUGAUUAGCUAGUUGGUGGGGUAAUGGCCUACCAAAGCUUCGAUCAGUAGCUGGCCUGAGAGGACGGCCAGCCACACUGGGACUGAGACACGGCCCAGACUCCUACGGGAGGCAGCAGUGGGGAAUUUUGGACAAUGGGCGCAAGCCUGAUCCAGCCAUGCCGCGUGAGUGAAGAAGGCCUUCGGGUUGUAAAGCUCUUUCAGCCGGGAAGAAAAGGUUGCGAUUAAUAAUCGCAAUUUAUGACGGUACCGGAAGAAGAAGCACCGGCUAACUACGUGCCAGCAGCCGCGGUAAUACGUAGGGUGCGAGCGUUAAUCGGAAUUACUGGGCGUAAAGGGUGCGCAGGCGGUUUUGUAAGUCAGAUGUGAAAUCCCCGGGCUUAACCUGGGAACU
Molecule: ribosomal RNA, 423 nt
Filed under: uncultured bacterium
Lineage: Bacteria
Description: bacterial SSU rRNA
Rfam family: Bacterial small subunit ribosomal RNA
Source: RNAcentral